Molecule: long non-coding RNA, 4318 nt
Filed under: Homo sapiens (human)
Lineage: Eukaryota; Metazoa; Chordata; Mammalia; Primates; Hominidae
Description: non-protein coding WAC-AS1:1
Source: RNAcentral
CCUCCCCGCACCGCGCGGGUCCGGAACACCGCCCUCGGCAAACCUCGGCUGGCUCCGGCCUUUCUCCUCCUCUGAGGCCUGGAUCUUCUCUUCGCGACCAGUCUGCCCUUUCCUUCUUUUCCUCACUCGCGAGUCGGCCACCGCCGUUCCCGUUUAGGGAUAGUCUCGCUCGGGCGCCUGCUCGAGGCUGAUCUCAGGGGCUCCGGGCUGCGCAGGGAGGGAGCCGCCUUCCGGAAGAGGACGGUGGGGCGCGAGGGAAGCCAUCGCGGACUAAAUAAGGGAGGCUGCAGCGGCUGCGCGUGCGCCCAGAGGCGCAGCGGGAGGGGGUGCUCUCGGGCGAGCUCUCCGGCCGCGGCCCCCGCCCCUGCGCUGUCGGGCGGGGAGGUCGGAAACCCCCUGGCGAGACCACGGGCGGACGCUUCCCGAAGAGCUGCCUGGGCUGCAGCCGCGGAAGCUGCGUUCUGGGGAGCGGGGAGCGUGCUCCGGCGCCUUCGGGCCGCUGCUGGAAGCCGGAACCGAGCCCGGGCCGCUGCCCCUCACCGGACGCCGCGCGCCACCGGCCCUCCGCGGGGCAGGGGCUGCUGCGAGCUCGCCGGGCGCCCUUUAGACAGUCGUCCUUGUCUACUCCACUACCAAAUGUUGAAGUUCUUCAAGAAUCAGUCCUUUGGAGGUGAUGUCAUUGAAAAUGAUGAGUAGGAAACUCCAAGAGCGCAUUUCUCCACAAAACCAGUGAAUACAUUGGCACAAAUUGUCAGAAUCAAUUUUAUAUAAAUUCUGGAAAUUAGUCAAAGGUUUAUAGUAACCAAGGAAACAUCUUUUUAAAAAGAUGGCUGAGGCUGGAUGCUGUGGCUUAUACCUGUAAUCCCAGCACUUUGAGAGGCCAAGGCGAGCAGAGCAUUUGAGUCAGGAGUUAGAGACCAGCAAAAAAAUUAGCUGGGUGUGUUUGCGGGCACCUGUAAUCCCUCAGGGAGGCUGAGGCAGGAGAAUCGCUUGAACCUGGAAGAUGGAGGUUGCAGUGAGCCAAGAUCGUGCCACCUCACUCCAGCCUGGGUGAUAGAGUGAGACUCUGUCUCAAAAAAAAAAAAAAAAAAAAGUCUGAAUCCUGAAUCUCAGGAGCGCUUUCUAUCAUUUAAACUUACCCUGGUGCCACCUCCCUGUCCAGCUUUGAAAACAACGACAUGCAUUUCUGAUAUCUGUUCCUGGUGCCAAAGGGAGCAGGAUGGCCUUGUUUUCUUUUCUUCUUUCUUUUUUUUUUUUGAGAUGGAGUUUUGCCCGUGUUGCCCAGGCUGGAGUGCAGUGGCGCAAUCUCGGCUCACAGCAACCUCCGCCUCCCGGCUUCAAGCGAUUCUCCUGCCUCAACCUCCCGAGUAGCUGGGAUUACAGGCACUUGCCACCAUGCCUGACCAAUUUUUGUAUUUUUAGUUGAGACGGGAUUUUGCCAUGUUGGCUAGGCUGGUCUCGAACUCCUGACCUCAGGUGAUCCGCCCACCUCAGCCUCCCAAAGUGCUGGGAUUACAGGCAUGAGCCACUGUGCCUGGCCGUGGACCUUCUUUUCAAAGAAUUAUGGAGGCUUAUUUUAGUUCCCCUAACUUGGAAAUCUCCUGAGGAAGAAAGGUGACUACAGGCAUUUGUCAAAAAUUUGUAAAGGCAAGUUUAUUAGCCUCUGCCAUCGGGGGCAAAGAAUAAUAGCUAAGGCAAACAAUAGACACACCAAAAAGCCUGGGAGGAAAAGCUGGAAAGUAAGAUAUUUUGGAGAAUAAAGGCUUUUAAAACUUCCACAUAUUCUUGGGAAUCCAAAAGGCCACAUGUACAUGCAGGGUGAGCAAAUAGAGAAGACUUGAGAAAGCCUUAAACUCUCACCUCUGGCUAACCAUCAGGCUUGCUCAAAUAGGAAGUGAAAACUAAGGUGAAUUUGUUGCUUAGCUGAAUGUUGAAGGUGUGCCCCAACACUUACACAGAGCCUACUGGUAAAGACUGAGAGUGUUUUCUUUUUGUCUUGGUUUCAGGCAUUUAAGGAAAUCUGUUUCUCUUUUGGAUCACUAGCUGCAAAUUAAGCUAACAGAACAGGAGCUCAGCUGGUCACACACAGCAACGAAUACAGACUUUAUAAAGUUCAGAAAAGUUACCAAACAGUGGUAACCAUAACAAGUACCAACAAUGAACUAUGGGGAGGGAGGAGAAUCUGAUUUCCAGAGUUACCACAUUAUAAUACUAUUCAAAAUGUCACAUUUUUAGCAAAGAUUACAUGACAAGGAAAAACCAGAAAAGUAUGGCCCAUACACAGGUAAAAAAAGAAAUUAAUAGAAACUACCCCUGAAGAAGCACAGACUUCGGAUGUACAAAACAAAGACUUUUCAUCAACUCUUUUAGAUAUGCUAGAAGAGCUAAAGGAAACCAUGGACAGAGAACAAAAAAAUUAGGAAAGCAAUGUCUCAUCCAAUACAGAAUAUCAAUAAAGAGAUUGAAAUUGUAGAAAAGAACCAAAUAGAAAUUCUGGAGUUGAAAAGUAUUAUAACUAAAACUGAAAAUUCACUAGAGGUAUUCAGCAGCAGACUGGAGAAGUCAGAAGAAAGAAUCAACAGGCUUCAAGAUAGGUCAAUUAAGAUUAUACAGUCUGAGGAGCAGAAAGGAAAAAGAAUGAAGAAAAAUGAACAGAGCAUAAAAGACCUCUGGGACUCUAUCAAGCAUACCAGUAUAUGCAUGAGGGGAGUCCCAGAAGGAGAAGAAAGAGAGAAAGGGACAUAAUAUUUGAAGAAAUAAUGGUAGAAAAUGUCCCAGCUUUGAUGAAAUACAUGAAUCUAGAUAUUCAAGAGGCUCAAAGAACCCUAAAUAGGGUAAACUCAAAAAGACCCACACCGGAAUGCAAAAGUGAGCUGGGUGUGGUGGCACGUGCCUGUGGUCCCAGCUACUCGAGAGGCUAAGGCAGGAAAAUCGCUUGAACCCAGGAGGCAGAGAUUGCGGUGAGCCGGGAUUGCGCCAGUGCACUCCAGCUGGGCGACAGAGCGAGAUUCCAUCUCGAAAAAAAAAAAAAAAAAAAAAAAAAACUAUUGCUGCAGUCAUUCAGAUGGAAAUGGGGAAAGAAUAAUAUUAACUGAUUUCAAAAAGGACUUGAAGAUGUGAAUCAUCUAUUUUGCUGAAGAAAUCUUAACUCUUUGAAAUUACUUUUUGUUGCUGUUGUCAUACUCUUAGGUGCCAAACUGCGGUAAAUUUUUUAUCAGUGAAGUGGAAGCAUGUGUUUUGUUGUUUUGGGAAUUUUUAUCAAGUAUCUUCAGAGAAGAUUAUUUCCUGCUUUAUCUUCAAAAACUGGAAAGGAAGGGUCAAAGAAAAGACAGUAGCUGGCCGGUCAUGGUGGCUCAUGCCUGUAAUCCCAACACUUUGGGAGGCUGAGGUGGGCAGAUCACCUGAGGUUGGGAGUUCGAGGCCAGCCUGACCAACGUGGAGAAAUGCCAUCUCUACUAAAGAUGCAAGGAUUGGCCGGGCGUGGUGGUGCGUGCCUGUGAUCCCAGCUGCUCAGGAGGCUGAGGCAGGAGAAUCGCUUGGACCUGGGAGGUGGAGGUUGCGGUGAGCUGAGAUCACGCCAUUGCACUCCAGCCUGGGCAACAAGCGAAACUCUGUCUCAAAAAAAAAGAAAAGACAGUAGCUUAUGUUCAUGUCAAGCACCUCUCAUCACAGUCUAGUUCCAAGGAAAAAAUUCCCAGCGUUUUCUACAUUCGGUGCUGCGUCAUCUGAAAUCGGCACAUUCCAUGGAGGAAGGAGUCCUGCUUUGUUGCAUGUAUCCUAGGGUUUAAUGUUGGUAAAUGAGUCACUCUAGCAUUUGUAGAAGGCUCCCUGAGACUCCUGCAGCAGUCGACCAAGCCCAAGGACAUAAUUGAAUCUGGAGAGUCCUGGGGCCUUGUUUUGAAAAAGACUUGAAAUACACAUAGGAAGAAAGGCAUAAAAAUAAAUGUUCACUUGUCUCUGCUGUGAGUAUGUGUUCCAACUUUUCAGUGAUGGCUUUGAGAAUUCUCAAACUUGACUGGCUCUAAGUGUAUCUGGUGGCUUUUGUAUCGUAACCUGAAACUGGCUUAGUACUUUUUCCUAAAAGCUCAGGAUUUGAGAAUGAGGACCCCUUCGCCAGGAAAACAUGUAUACACUCAAAAUUUUGCUUGCAGUUCUAGGGUGUUUAGACCUUUCUCAGAUACCUGUGCAUCUUAUGGGUUUUGUUUUUCUCUUUGAGACAGUCUCACCCUGUUGCCCAGGCUGGAGUGCAGUGGCAUGGUCUCAGCUCAUUGCAGCCUCCGCCUCCUGGGUUCAGGUGGUUCUGCCUCAGCCCCUUGAU